UACGUAGGGUGCAAGCGUUGUCCGGAAUUAUUGGGCGUAAAGAGCUCGUAGGCGGUUUGGUGAGUCGGCUGUGAAAUCCCGAGGCUCAACCUCGGGUCUGCAGUCGAUACGAGCAAACUAGAGUGUUGCAGGGGAGACUGGAAUUCCUGGUGUAGCGGUGAAAUGCGCAGAUAUCAGGAGGAACACCGGUGGCGAAGGCGGGUCUCUGGGCAACAACUGACGCUGAGGAGCGAAAGCGUGGGGAGCGAACAGG
RNAcentral lists this ribosomal RNA (253 nucleotides) under uncultured bacterium. RNAcentral describes it as "partial 16S ribosomal RNA". It matches the Rfam family "Bacterial small subunit ribosomal RNA", at positions 524 to 776 of the family's 1533-position model. The record is from RNAcentral.